UACGGAGGGGGCUAGCGUUGUUCGGAAUUCUGGGCGUAAAGCGCGCGUAGGCGGCUUUGUAAGUUAGAGGUGAAAGCCCGGAGCUCAACUCCGGAACUGCCUUUAAGACUGCAUCGCUAGAAUUGUGGAGAGGUAAGUGGAAUUCCGAGUGUAGAGGUGAAAUUCGUAGAUAUUCGGAAGAACACCAGUGGCGAAGGCGACUUACUGGACACAUAUUGACGCUGAGGUGGCGAAAAGCGUGGGGAGCAAACAGGG
RNAcentral lists this ribosomal RNA (255 nucleotides) under uncultured bacterium. Its description in RNAcentral is "partial 16S ribosomal RNA". It matches the Rfam family "Bacterial small subunit ribosomal RNA", at positions 524 to 777 of the family's 1533-position model. The record is from RNAcentral.